GGUUCUGGCUCAGUGGUAGAGUGUUUGCCUAGCAUGCAUGAGGCACUGGGUUGGAUUCUCAGCACCA
RNAcentral lists this transfer RNA (67 nucleotides) under Marmota monax (woodchuck). RNAcentral describes it as "tRNA.Ala". Lineage: Eukaryota; Metazoa; Chordata; Mammalia; Rodentia; Sciuridae. The record is from RNAcentral.